CAAAGGAAUUGACGGGGCCCGCACAAGCGGUGGAGCAUGUGGUUUAAUUCGACGCAACGCGAAGAACCUUACCAGGGCUUGACAUCCCCUGACCGCGUAUGAAAGUACGAAUUCACCUUCGGGUGACAGGGAGACAGGUGGUGCAUGGUUGUCGUCAGCUCGUGUCGUGAGAUGUUGGGUUAAGUCCCGCAACGAGCGCAACCCCUACGUUUAGUUGCUAACGCGUGAAGGCGAGCACUCUAGACGAACUGCCGUUGACAAAACGGAGGAAGGUGGGAUGACGUCAAAUCAUCAUGCCCCUUAUGUUCUGGGCUACACACGUGCUACAAUGGCCGGUACAGACGGACGCAAAGCCGCGAGGUGGAGCAAAUCCUAAAAAGCCGGUCUCAGUUCGGAUUGCAGGCUGCAAUUCGCCUGCAUGAAGUCGGAAUCGCUAGUAAUCGCAGGUCAGCAUACUGCGGUCGAAUACGUUCCCGGGCCUU
This 482-nucleotide ribosomal RNA is filed under the name uncultured Pelotomaculum sp. RNAcentral describes it as "bacterial SSU rRNA". It matches the Rfam family "Bacterial small subunit ribosomal RNA", at positions 902 to 1382 of the family's 1533-position model. The record is from RNAcentral. Lineage: Bacteria; Bacillati; Bacillota; Clostridia; Eubacteriales; Desulfotomaculaceae.